UUGGAGGGCAAGUCUGGUGCCAGCAGCCGCGGUAAUUCCAGCUCCAAUAGCGUAUAUUAAAGUUGUUGCAGUUAAAAAGCUCGUAGUUGAACUUCGGGGUUUACCCAUUGGUCAGGCUUAAUUGUCUGCACUGGUGAGAUAAAUCUCUACCUUCUGAGGAACCUUCAUGCCAUUUAUUUGGUGUGAUGGGAAGUCAGGACUGUUACUUUGAAAAAAUUAGAGUGUUUAAAGCAGGCUAACGUCUGAAUACAUUAGCAUGGAAUAA
RNAcentral lists this ribosomal RNA (265 nucleotides) under uncultured Diversispora. RNAcentral's name for it is "partial 18S ribosomal RNA". It matches the Rfam family "Eukaryotic small subunit ribosomal RNA", at positions 548 to 817 of the family's 1831-position model. The record is from RNAcentral. Lineage: Eukaryota; Fungi; Glomeromycota; Glomeromycetes; Diversisporales; Diversisporaceae.